This 464-nucleotide ribosomal RNA is filed under the name uncultured bacterium. RNAcentral's name for it is "bacterial SSU rRNA". It matches the Rfam family "Bacterial small subunit ribosomal RNA", at positions 328 to 793 of the family's 1533-position model. The record is from RNAcentral.
CUCGUAGACUCCUACGGGAGGCAGCAGUAAGGAAUAUUGGACAAUGGGCGCAAGCCUGAUCCAGCCAUCCCGCGUGCAGGAAGACAGCCCUAUGGGUUUUAACUGCUUUAGAAGGAAGAAACGCUACAUUUAUGUGGUUUGACGGUACCUUCAGAAUAAGCACCGGCUAACUCCGUGCCAGCAGCCGCGGUAAUACGGAGGGUGCGAGCGUUAUCCGGAAUUACUGGGUUUAAAGGGUGCGUAGGCGGGCGAUUAAGUCAGAGGUGAAAGCUUUCAGCUUAACUGAGAAAUUGCCUUUGAUACUGAUUGUCUUGAAAUAUGUUGAGGUUAGCAGAAUGUGGCAUGUAGCGGUGAAAUGCAUAGAUAUGCCAUAAGAAUACCAAUUGCGAAGGCAGCUAACUGGGCAUUAUUUGACGCUGAGGCACGAAAGCGUGGGGAGCGAACAGGAUUAGAUACCCUGGUAG